This 458-nucleotide ribosomal RNA is filed under the name uncultured bacterium. RNAcentral's name for it is "bacterial SSU rRNA". It matches the Rfam family "Bacterial small subunit ribosomal RNA", at positions 340 to 789 of the family's 1533-position model. The record is from RNAcentral.
UACGGAAGGCAGCAGUGGGGAAUAUUGCACAAUGGGCGCAAGCCUGAUGCAGCCAUGCCGCGUGUAUGAAAAAGGCCUUCGGGUUGUAAAGUACUUUCAGUCGUGAGGAAGGUGUUAAGGUUAAUAACCUUAGCAAUUGACGUUAGCGACAGAAGAAGCACCGGCUAACUCCGUGCCAGCAGCCGCGGUAAUACGGAGGGUGCGAGCGUUAAUCGGAAUUACUGGGCGUAAAGGGCACGCAGGCGGUUAAUUAAGUUGGAUGUGAAAUCCCCGGGCUUAACCUGGGAAUGGCAUUCAAGACUGGUUAGCUAGAGUCUUGUAGAGGGGGUAGAAUUCCAUGUGUAACGGUGAAAUGCGUAGAGAUGUGGAGGAAUACCGGUGGCGAAGGCGGCCCCUGGACAAAGACUGACGCUCAUGUGCGAAAGCGUGGGGAGCGAAAACAGGGAUUAGAUACCCGU